This is a long non-coding RNA of Camelus dromedarius (Arabian camel), 1690 nucleotides long. RefSeq lists it as uncharacterized. The record is from RefSeq and is a predicted model, not a curated record. The transcript is spliced from 6 exons. Lineage: Eukaryota; Metazoa; Chordata; Mammalia; Artiodactyla; Camelidae.
UCCCGGCCGCCGCCGCCGCCGCCGCCGCCGCCGUCCGCGGAGGAGGAGGAGGAGGACGAGUCCCACGUUUCCCGCGACGUCGGGUCUCCGCGCGGUCAGGCUGGAGGAGGUGAGCGGCGGUGCGCUGGCAGGAGCCGGGCUGCUGGGGUGCCGUCUCUCUUCUGGCGUCUUCCAGAACUUACGGCGGAGCAGGUGCCCGUGCAAGAGUGAGAUUCACACACCGGGCGAGCAGACAUUGAAAGGACAAAGGACCCGUCUCCCUGGAAGAGCCGACGUUGAUCAGAUCUGCCUGUGGGAAUCCAGACGACACCAGUGGUAUCAGGGAUUGGUCGUGUUACCUUGAGCCCGUCUGAAGCGUUCUUUCCAGAACUCAAUUCUUAAGGCAAAGCGUACAGAAUACUGUAUCGUGCGCAUCGUGGUCCGGGUAGCAGUCGUUGGGGACGGUGUGCGGCGGCAGUGACUGCUCACAAUGAUGGCAGCUGCUCUCCGCUGCGGGACAUCUCCGUGCACCGGGAAUUGAGCUCAGGGUCUUGCCCUCAGCAGCCCAGGGCUGUAGUUGUGCCCUUGUUACAAACGAAGAAACUGAAGCUAACACACGGUACUUGUCCAUCUGCGGCCCGCAGGGUGUAUGUGUGGUGGCGCUGGGAUGGGAACACAGACAUCUGACUUGGCAGGUGUGUGGUGCCCUGCGCCCUGCUGUUCCGCGCAGGCUUCCCGGGCCGGCUCACCGGGGGCAGCAGUGAUGGCAGAGGCUGGGGGGUGGCGGCUGCCUGCCAGGUGGACUGACCCUCCAGCAGAGGGAGGAAGACCUCACUCACACUCAGCGCGAAUGGGAAUUUUCACAGGAGAAUCUCCUCCAGGGAAAGGAAACGUGUGAAGCUGGUGGGGUCUGCAGGGCGAGCGGAGGGAGGGUCUGCCUCCAGCUCCAGGACGUCCCUCCUCCCCUGGCAACUGGUCUACAUUCCCAACUAAGUGAAGGUCAGCCUAACGCCUACCCAGCAUGGAUCUCUUCUUUCAACAGAAAUGACAGACCCUGUCCCAUCAGUGAUUUUUCAAGCAUCAGCCCAUUGCAACAAGUGUUGAGUAGAAGUGGCCAGGACAGACGCUCUUGUGUUCCUGAUCUUCUCCCGGCGAGACUGUGGUCACUGUGGGGUCCCCCGAGCUGUGCCCGAGGUCUGUUGUCAGUGUAACGUGAAAAAGAGAAAUCAAGGGUUACAGAUGAGAAAGCGGGAACGGAAAACACUGCAACCAUGUCAGUGAACGAAGAACGCUGAAGCCAUCAAGUCAUCAGCGGCUGCCGCCCCACCCCCCACCCCCGAGGGAAGACCAGCCUGCAGCCCGGCCUCUGCAGCCACUCACAGUGGUGCACCCUGAGGGGAUCAGAACAAGAAAGGAUGGGACACUGGCCCUAGAUGGCUAGGUGCUUGUCAAAGGAAUGAAUUCAGUGAGCCCAAAUGUUUGCUUCCUCCCAUACAUGGAAAAGCACUGAAUUCUGUAACUUGAGAUGCCUGUUUUUCUUUAGUUAACAAGUAAUCUUUUAUUGUUCCAACUCCCUGGUCUUUGUUGUAAAGCUCCUAUAUCUCCUAGCUGGUCCCCUGCCUCUUCAGAGCCAUCCCUCAGAGCGACCUGAGAGGCUGUCAUCCCAGCUGAGUCCUCAGAAUUGUCCACGGAAUAAAACAUAACUCUCAAC